GUUUUUAUCGCAAAUUCCGAUCUCUCGUCCAAUAAAAAAUUCAAUCGAUACUGCGUGAUCGAAAAUGGAGUGAUUCGAUUAGUUUGAGUAUUUUCGACGAAGCAGUCGAACGUGGAUGGUUUUGAUACGUUUGACGACGUUGUCAAUUUUCGAAAUCUUCUCGAGAAGAAUAAUGUCGGAGAUAAUUGACACGAUGCUACGACGAUUGGGGAAAACGUCAUCGGUUUCAGAUAAACGAUAAAGUUCGAUUUGUAAGCGACGCAGAGGCAAAGAAAUUUGGCGACAACGG
RNAcentral lists this unclassified non-coding RNA (289 nucleotides) under Bombus terrestris (buff-tailed bumblebee). Its description in RNAcentral is "misc RNA ENSBTSG00005023995.1". Lineage: Eukaryota; Metazoa; Arthropoda; Insecta; Hymenoptera; Apidae. The record is from RNAcentral.